This 403-nucleotide ribosomal RNA is filed under the name uncultured microorganism. RNAcentral describes it as "bacterial SSU rRNA". It matches the Rfam family "Archaeal small subunit ribosomal RNA", at positions 330 to 735 of the family's 1478-position model. The record is from RNAcentral.
GUGCACCAGGCGAGAAACCUUCGCAAUGCGGGAAACCGCGACGAGGGGACUCCCAGUGCCUACGCUCAGCGUAGGCUGUUCCCGAGCCUAGAAAGCUCGGGGAGUAAGGGCUGGGUAAGACGGGUGCCAGCCGCCGCGGUAAUACCCGCAGCCCGAGUGGUGGCCACUAUUAUUGGGCCUAAAGCGUCCGUAGCCGGCCCGGUAAAUGCCUGGGUAAAUCGUGAGGCCUAACCUCACGAAUUCCGGGUAGACUGCCGGGCUAGGGACCGGAGGAGGGAGAGGGUACUCCAGGGGUAGGGGUGAAAUCCUGUAAUCCCUGGAGGACCACCGGUGGCGAAGGCGCUCUCCUAGGACGGGUCCGACGGUGAGGGACGAAAGCCAGGGGAGCGAACCGGAUUAGAUA